This 738-nucleotide ribosomal RNA is filed under the name Rhodotorula mucilaginosa. RNAcentral's name for it is "eukaryotic LSU rRNA". The stretch from base 165 to 738 matches the Rfam family "Eukaryotic large subunit ribosomal RNA", at positions 1 to 571 of the family's 3401-position model. Lineage: Eukaryota; Fungi; Basidiomycota; Microbotryomycetes; Sporidiobolales; Sporidiobolaceae. The record is from RNAcentral.
UGCUGGCCUUUACGGUCUAGCUCGUUCGUAAUGCAUUAGCAUCCGCAAUCGAACUUCGGAUUGACUUGGCGUAAUAGACUAUUCGCUGAGGAAUUCUAGUCUUCGGACUAGAGCCGGGUUGGGUUAAAGGAAGCUUCUAAUCAGAAUGUCUACAUUUUAAGAUUAGAUCUCAAAUCAGGUAGGACUACCCGCUGAACUUAAGCAUAUCAAUAAGCGGAGGAAAAGAAACUAACAAGGAUUCCCCUAGUAGCGGCGAGCGAAGCGGGAAGAGCUCAAAUUUAUAAUCUGGCACCUUCGGUGUCCGAGUUGUAAUCUCUAGAAAUGUUUUCCGCGUUGGACCGCACACAAGUCUGUUGGAAUACAGCGGCAUAGUGGUGAGACCCCCGUAUAUGGUGCGGACGCCCAGCGCUUUGUGAUACAUUUUCGAAGAGUCGAGUUGUUUGGGAAUGCAGCUCAAAUUGGGUGGUAAAUUCCAUCUAAAGCUAAAUAUUGGCGAGAGACCGAUAGCGAACAAGUACCGUGAGGGAAAGAUGAAAAGCACUUUGGAAAGAGAGUUAACAGUACGUGAAAUUGUUGGAAGGGAAACGCUUGAAGUCAGACUUGCUUGCCGAGCAAUCGGUUUGCAGGCCAGCAUCAGUUUUCCGGGAUGGAUAAUGGUAGAGAGAAGGUAGCAGUUUCGGCUGUGUUAUAGCUCUCUGCUGGAUACAUCUUGGGGGACUGAGGAACGCAGUGUGCCUU